UCUUCAUUCUGCACACUCUCUCACCGGUCAGAGAGGCGAGAGAGUGUGUGACAUGAAGUGA
This 61-nucleotide microRNA precursor is filed under the name Pristionchus pacificus. Its description in RNAcentral is "mir-8364 microRNA precursor family". It matches the Rfam family "mir-8364 microRNA precursor family". The record is from Rfam by way of RNAcentral. Lineage: Eukaryota; Metazoa; Nematoda; Chromadorea; Rhabditida; Neodiplogasteridae.